AACGAACGCUGGCGGCGUGCCUAACACAUGCAAGUCGUACGUAAAAGUCUUUCGGGAUGAGUAAAGUGGCGCACGGGUGAGUAACACGUAGGUGACCUGCCGUUUAGAGGGGGAUAACCAGAAGAAAUUUUGGCUAAUACCGCAUACGAAGUACAAAUCUUAGAGUAGUACUUGAAAGAAUGCCUCUGCAUAUGCAUUCACUAAACGAUGGGCCUGCGGAACAUUAGCUUGUUGGUGGGGUAAUGGCCUACCAAGGCUACGAUGUUUAUCCGGUCUGAGAGGAUGAUCGGACACACUGGAACUGAGACACGGUCCAGACUCCUACGGGAGGCAGCAGUGGGGAAUAUUGCGCAAUGGGGGAAACCCUGACGCAGCAACGCCGCGUGAGUGAGGAAGGACUUCGGUCUGUAAAGCUCUGUUAAUGUGGAAAAAUGGUUAGUGGUCUAAUAGGCCAUUGAUUUGAAGGUACACAUAGAGGAAGCACCGGCUAACUUCGUGCCAGCCGCCGCAGUAA
This 514-nucleotide ribosomal RNA is filed under the name uncultured bacterium. Its description in RNAcentral is "partial 16S ribosomal RNA". It matches the Rfam family "Bacterial small subunit ribosomal RNA", at positions 29 to 523 of the family's 1533-position model. The record is from RNAcentral.